Molecule: ribosomal RNA, 915 nt
Filed under: Listeria monocytogenes
Lineage: Bacteria; Bacillati; Bacillota; Bacilli; Caryophanales; Listeriaceae
Description: partial 23S ribosomal RNA
Rfam family: Bacterial large subunit ribosomal RNA
Source: RNAcentral
UUGGUUAAGUUAGAAAGGGCGCACGGUGGAUGCCUUGGCACUAGGAGCCGAAGAAGGACGGGACUAACACCGAUAUGCUUUGGGGAGCUGUACGUAAGCGUUGAUCCAGAGAUUUCCGAAUGGGGGAACCCACUAUCUUUAGUCGGAUAGUAUCCUUACGUGAAUACAUAGCGUGAGGAAGGCAGACCCAGGGAACUGAAACAUCUAAGUACCUGGAGGAAGAGAAAGAAAAAUCGAUUUCCUGAGUAGCGGCGAGCGAAACGGAAAGAGCCCAAACCAAGAAGCUUGCUUCUUGGGGUUGUAGGACACUCUAUACGGAGUUACAAAAGAAAGUUAUAAAUGAAGCGGUCUGGAAAGGCCCGCCAAAGACGGUAACAGCCCGGUAGUUGAAAUGGCUUUCCCUCCAGAGUGGAUCCUGAGUACGGCGGAACACGUGAAAUUCCGUCGGAAUCCGGGAGGACCAUCUCCCAAGGCUAAAUACUCCCUAGUGACCGAUAGUGAACCAGUACCGUGAGGGAAAGGUGAAAAGCACCCCGGAAGGGGAGUGAAACAGUUCCUGAAACCGUGUGCCUACAAGUAGUUAGAGCCCGUUAAUGGGUGAUAGCGUGCCUUUUGUAGAAUGAACCGGCGAGUUACGAUUUGUUGCAAGGUUAAGCGGAAAAAGCGGAGCCGUAGCGAAAGCGAGUCUGAAUAGGGCGCAUAAGUAACAGGUCGUAGACCCGAAACCAGGUGAUCUACCCAUGUCCAGGAUGAAGGUAAGGUAAUACUUACUGGAGGUCCGAACCCACGCACGUUGAAAAGUGCGGGGAUGAGGUGUGGGUAGCGGAGAAAUUCCAAUCGAACUUGGAGAUAGCUGGUUCUCUCCGAAAUAGCUUUAGGGCUAGCCUCGAGGUAAAGAGUCAUGGAGGUAGAGCA